This 1367-nucleotide ribosomal RNA is filed under the name uncultured bacterium. RNAcentral describes it as "bacterial SSU rRNA". It matches the Rfam family "Bacterial small subunit ribosomal RNA". The record is from RNAcentral.
GAGUUUGAUCCUGGCUCAGGACGAACGCUGGCGGCGCGCCUAACACAUGCAAGUCGAACGAGAGAGAGGAAGCUUGCAUCCUCAAUCGAGUGGCGAACGGGUGAGUAACGCGUGAGGAACCUGCCUCAAAGAGGGGGACAACAGUUGGAAACGACUGCUAAUACCGCAUAAGCCCACAGCUCGGCAUCGAGCAGAGGGAAAAGGAGCAAUCCGCUUUGAGAUGGCCUCGCGUCCGAUUAGCUAGUUGGUGAGGUAACGGCCCACCAAGGCAACGAUCGGUAGCCGGACUGAGAGGUUGAACGGCCACGUUGGGACUGAGACACGGCCCAGACUCCUACGGGAGGCAGCAGUGGGGAAUAUUGCACAAUGGGGGAAACCCUGAUGCAGCGACGCCGCGUGGAGGAAGAAGGUCUUCGGAUUGUAAACUCCUGUUGUUGAGGAAGAUAAUGACGGUACUCAACAAGGAAGUGACGGCUAACUACGUGCCAGCAGCCGCGGUAAAACGUAGGUCACAAGCGUUGUCCGGAAUUACUGGGUGUAAAGGGAGCGCAGGCGGGAAGACAAGUUGGAAGUGAAAUCUAUGGGCUCAACCCAUAAACUGCUUUCAAAACUGUUUUUCUUGAGUAGUGCAGAGUAGGCGGAAUUCCCGGUGUAGCGGUGGAAUGCGUAGAUAUCGGGAGGAACACCAGUGGCGAAGGCGGCCUACUGGGCACCAACUGACGCUGAGGCUCGAAAGUGUGGGUAGCANACAGGAUUAGAUACCCUGGUAGUCCACACCGUAAACGAUGAUUACUAGGUGUUGGAGGAUUGACCCCUUCAGUGCCGCAGUUAACACAAUAAGUAAUCCACCUGGGGAGUACAACCGCAAGGUUGAAACUCAAAGGAAUUGACGGGGGCCCGCACAAGCAGUGGAGUAUGUGGUUUAAUUCGACGCAACGCGAAGAACCUUACCAAGUCUUGACAUCCUGCGACGGACAUAGAAAUAUGUCUUUCCUUCGGGACGCAGAGACAGGUGGUGCAUGGUUGUCGUCAGCUCGUGUCGUGAGAUGUUGGGUUAAGUCCCGCAACGAGCGCAACCCUUACUGUCAGUUACUACGCAAGAGGACUCUGGCAGGACUGCCGUUGACAAAACGGAGGAAGGUGGGGAUGACGUCAAAUCAUCAUGCCCUUUAUGACUUGGGCUACACACGUACUACAAUGGCGUUAAACAAAGAGAAGCAAGACCGCGAGGUGGAGCAAAACUCAGAAACAACGUCCCAGUUCGGACUGCAGGCUGCAACUCGCCUGCACGAAGUCGGAAUUGCUAGUAAUCGUGGAUCAGCAUGCCACGGUGAAUACGUUCCCGGGCCUUGUACACACCGCCCGUC